Molecule: ribosomal RNA, 422 nt
Filed under: uncultured bacterium
Lineage: Bacteria
Description: partial 16S ribosomal RNA
Rfam family: Bacterial small subunit ribosomal RNA
Source: RNAcentral
AUUUUGGACAAUGGGGGCAACCCUGAUCCAGCCAUCCCGCGUGUAUGAUGAAGGCCUUNGGGUUGNANAGUACUCUUGGCAGAGANGAAAAGGUAUCUCCUAAUACGAGAUACUGCUGACGGUAUCUGAAGAAUAAGCACCGGCUAACUACGUGCCAGCAGCGGCGGUAAUACGUAGGGUGCAAGCGUUAAUCGGAAUUACUGGGCGUAAAGCGUGUGUAGGCGGUUCGGAAAGAAAGAUGUGAGAUCCCAGGCCUCAACCUAGGAACUGCACUUUUAACUGCCGAGCUAGAGUAUGUCAGAGGGGGGUAGAAUUCCACGUGUAGCAGUGAAAUGCGUAGAUAUGUGGAGGAAUACCGAUGGCGAAGGCAGCCCCCUGGGAUAAUACUGACGCUCAGACACGAAAGCGUGGGGAGCAAACAG